ACAUCUUUCUUUGUGGUGGAGUUUUAUACUGGGUACUAUAAGAUGUUCAGAUGCAGCUCUGGGCUACACCUACUCAAUACCAGAAGCUCCUGCUUUCUCAAAUAUAACAACUGAAUCGUCUCAAGAAAUUACCCAGUAAUUCCCAGAGACAAAAUUGCUCCCAGACAAGACCACUCUUUCAUAUGAGAGAAUUGUGGGAGUUCAUAAGAUAGCUAAUCUAAUUCCUUUCAGCUUGGCUCAGUUUGAAGCAUGAAUCAUUCUUUUAAAGACUUUUGAAAUAUAGAAUAAGAAGUGGUACAAGCUAGAUCACAUGCUCCAUGAAGAAAAUGGCCCUGUCUUAUUCCUUAGCUCUGAGAUGCGAUCAUAGAAAAAGUAGAUGCUCAAUAAAAUUGUGAGGGAGCACAGAGAAGCCCUGGUGAGGCUUUCUGGCAAUGAGGAUAGAAAGUGCUGCUUCAAAUCAGAGGCCAUGGAAGGCCUGAAACCAGUAAUCAUCUGUCUAUCACCUGACUGUGAGUCAGCAAAGAACCCCAGACUCUGAGGUCACUUCCUCAUCUGCUGAGAUCACUUCCUGAACUGCCCCAGUCAUACCUCCCUUGGACAGUGUGACUGCCCCAAGGCUCUGAGAUCACUUCCACAUCUCUGUGCUCCACCAGCCUCCCACCUUUCCCUAUAUAAUCCAGCUCAACACAAGUCUCCUCUUUGUUUUCUCUUUUUCCUUCCCCUCUCUCUCUGCAUACCUCCAUCUCAAGCAAUUUGCUC
Molecule: long non-coding RNA, 759 nt
Organism: Dipodomys spectabilis (banner-tailed kangaroo rat)
Lineage: Eukaryota; Metazoa; Chordata; Mammalia; Rodentia; Heteromyidae
Exons: 3
Source: RefSeq, a predicted model, not a curated record